CAGCCGCGGUAAUACCCGCAGCCCGAGUGGUGGUCGAUUUUAUUGAGUCUAAAACGUUCGUAGCCGGUCUGAUAAAUCCUUGGGUAAAUCGGGAAGCUUAACUUUCCGAAUUCCGAGGAGACUGUCAGGCUUGGGAUCGGGAGAGGUAUGAGGUACUUCAGGGGUAGGGGUAAAAUCCUGUAAUCCUUGGAGGACCACCGGUGGCGAAGGCGUCAUACUAGAACGAAUCCGACGGUGAGGGACGAAGCCCUAGGUCGCAAACGGGAUUAGAUACCCCGGUAGUCUAGGGUGUAAACGCUGCAGACUUGGUGUUGGGGGCCCUUCGGGGGCAUUCAGUGCCGGAGAGAAGUUGUUAAGUCUGCUACUUGGGGAGUACGUCCGCAAGGAUGAAACUUAAAGGAAUUGGCGGGGGAGCACCGCCAACGGGAGGAGCGUGCGGUUUAAUUGGAUUCAACACCGGAAAACUCACCAAGGGAGACCAUCACAUGAAAGCCAGGCUAAUGACUUUGCUUGAUUCUUGGAGGGGUGGUGCAUGG
RNAcentral lists this ribosomal RNA (536 nucleotides) under uncultured archaeon. RNAcentral's name for it is "bacterial SSU rRNA". It matches the Rfam family "Archaeal small subunit ribosomal RNA", at positions 462 to 997 of the family's 1478-position model. The record is from RNAcentral.